AAUGCAAGAGAAAACAGAAGGCCAAGGCCAAAGCUAAAAAAGAUUGGAAAAAGGAAAAUCGUCAUCUCAUCAAUCAGCCAAAGCUAAAAAAAAAAAAAAAUUAGUCAAAGCGCCACAUCCUUCUCUCCUUCGAAUUUCUCUCUCUAUUCCUUCCUUUAUUUUUUUCUUUCCUCCUUCUAAAAUCCCCUUUCUCUCUCUAGAUUUCGCCCUUUUCUGCUACGAAAUCCCUAAUUUUAAUCAGAGGUCAGAGUGAUGUUGAUUUGUACAUUAUAUGUUUGAGUUUUGUUUUCACAUUCCUUCUUAGGAUUUGAUGUUGGAAGCAGUAUGCCGCUGAUAGUUGGGAGAAAUGCAAAGGUAUCAUGCUCCCAGCUGCACUAGUGCAGUUAAUAACAGUGCAAUAGGAGGAGCCUCAGUUAGGGAUACUCCCCGGGCUGAUUCAUCUUCAUUACCACCUAACUUCUCAUUGAAUUCUAGGCGGCAAUCUCAGUUAGCACCCUACAAGUUGAAGUGUGAUAAGGAACAUCUGAAUUCCAGACUUGGCCCCCCUGACUUUCAUCCUCAGACUCAGAAUUGCCCCGAGGAGACGCUCACUAGAGAAAAUGUGCAGCAUGGGUAUAAGGAUACUAUUGAUGGACUGGAGGAUUCGAAAGAGAUUUCAUUGACUCAGGUUCAGGCUUUUACAAAGCCAGUUGUUUUGAAAUGCAGAGAUGCAAUUAGAAAGUGUCUAAGGGCUAUCAAUGAAUCUCGUGCUCAAAAGAGGAAGGCUGGUCAGGUUUAUGGUGUCCCUCUUUCUGGUUCACUGUUAAGUAAACCAGGGGUUUUCCCUGAACAAAGGCCAUGCAAUGAAGAUUUCAGAAAAAAAUGGAUUGAGGGCUUAUCACUGCAACACAAGCCUUUGUGUUCUUUGGCCGAUCAAGUUCCUCUAGGGUAUAAGAAGAGACCACUAAUAGAGGUUCUUAUCAGGAAUAAUGUUCCAUUGCUUAAAGCAACUUGGUUUAUCAAAGUAACAUAUCUUAAUCAGGUUCGUCCUGGUUCUGCAAUUUCGUCUGGAGCACCUGAUAAAACUCAAUUAUCUCGUACAGAGCUCUGGACAAAAGAUGUUAUUGAUUACUUGCAAUACCUGUUAGAUGAAUUUUUUUCGAGAAAUAAUUCUCAUUCUACUCAACAUGGUAGAGAUCGGUUGCCCCAAAUACAUUAUGCUGGGUCUUUGCAGCAUAGGAGUGAUCUGGCACCAGCAGUCAUUGAUGGUGAGGAACCGUCUCUUCAUUUUAAAUGGUGGUAUGUAGUGCGGCUCUUGCAGUGGCAUCAUGCAGAAGGACUGGUUCUUCCUUCACUCAUUAUUGAUUGGGUUCUGAAUCAACUGCAGGAAAAGGAUUUGCUUGAGAUUCUGCAGUUGCUGUUGCCUAUCAUUUAUGGAGUUUUGGAAACCAUCAUUCUGUGUCAGACAUAUGUACGCAAUCUUGUGGGUGUAGCUAUUCGCUUCAUCCGUGAACCUUCUCCAGGUGGAUCUGAUUUGGUUGAUAACUCCCGGAGAGCAUACACAAUAUCUGCACUAGUUGAGAUGCUCCGCUAUUUGAUACAGGCUACACCAGAUACAUUUGUUGCUUUAGAUUGCUUUCCUUUACCUACUUGUGUACUCUCACAUACACCUAGUGAUGGUGGUUUUUUAUCUAAGCCCUCUGAUGAUGCAGCAAAAAAAAAUUAUACAGCAGAUGCAUAUGCUGUCAGAGGUAAAGGGUUUGAUUCCCAAUACCAAUCCUUGUCAUUUAAUCAUGUUGUUUCCACCGUCGAGAAACGUGCUGACAAUCUUGCUAAAGGUGCAACUGCUGGAUAUCCUAGCCAAAGUGUGGCAAAAGCUGUGCAGACCCUGGACAAGGCUCUUUUGCAAGGAGAUGUGAUAGAUGCUUAUAAACAUAUCUUCAAUGAUCUUUAUGAUGGAGCAGUAGGCGAGGGUUGGGUAGCAGAAGUCAGUCCAAGCUUAAGAUCAUCACUAAAAUGGCUUCAAACUGUGAAUUUGUCUUUGAUUUGCUCAGUUUUUUUCCUUUGUGAGUGGGCAACUUGUGAUUACCGAGACUUCCGGACUGCUCCACCCUCUGACGUGAAGUUCACUGGCAGUAAAGAUUUUUCACAAAUAUAUCUUGCAAUUCAGCUUUUGAAACUGAAGAUGAAAGAGUUGCAGAAAAAACUCAAGAAGGGAAGGGCAUCAAGAAAGAAUACCAGUCAGCAGAAUAGCUAUUCCAGCAAGGAUUUGUUGGGAGAUACACAUGAAGCUAAAAGCAAUGGAAAAGGUUUAAAUGGAAGGAGGAGGAACUUUUCAGAUAUAUUUGACAGCCCUGGUCCUCUGCAUGAUAUUAUUGUGUGCUGGAUCGAUCAGCAUGAAGGACAUAAAGGAGAAGGUAGCAAACGUCUUCAGCUUUUUAUGUUGGAACUCAUACGUUCUGGAAUUUUUUAUCCUCAGGCAUAUGUGAGGCAGCUAUUAGUUAGUGGAAUUAUUGAUACAAAUGGACCGAUGGCUGACCUAAACAGAAGGAAGAGACAUCAACGAAUCUUGAAGCAGCUCCCAGGGCAGUUUAUGCUUAAUGCUUUGGAAGAAGCAAGAAUUGCUGAGGGCUCAGAACUGCUUGAGGCUAUAAAUGUUUACUCAAAUGAGCGCCUUCUUGUCCUUCAGGAACUUUUUUUUGAUUCAUAUAAUAAUACAAACAAUUCUCAUGCACUAGCCAAGAAGCUAAAUUGUCGUCCUACCUUAGGAAGAGAUGUUGAUUCCCAGGUUUCAUGUGAUAAGAGGAGAACUGUUCAAGCUUCAAAGACUUUCAGGAGAGAAGUGGGCCUUGAAGAACUGAAGGCUUCCAUCUCAGUUUUGCUGCAAUUCCCCAGUUCAUCUUUUUGUUCUGCAGAUAGUGGAGAGGAUGAGUCUCAAGGGAGUAUCAAAAGAUCUAUUGGGUCAACACACAGCAAGAUGGAUUCUGUAGAAGGUACUCCUGGGUGUGAAGAUUGUAAAAGGGUUAAAAGACUGAAAUUAAGUGAGGAUGAGACUUCAUGUCUUAAAGUAUAUUCACCCAUUCCAUCAGAUGAUGAUGAUACUUGGUGGGUGAGGAAGGGGCCCAAAAACUUGGAGGGUUCCAAAGUUGAUCCCUUGCUUAAGUCAACAAAGCAAGCAUCUCGUGGUAGGCAAAAGCCUGUGCGUAAAACUCAGAGUCUAGCACAGUUAGCUGCUGCUAGAAUUGAAGAUAGCCAGGGAGCAUCGACAAGUCACGUUUGUGAUAACAAGAUAAGUUGUCCACAUCAUAGAACUGAGGUGGAAAAUUUGAAGCCAGUUGAUGGGAUCAGAACAACCCAUCAUGCAGAUAUUAUUUCAAUUGGGAGGGGUUUAAAGCAGCUUCGCUUUGUAGAGAAGAGGGUUGUCACUAUUUGGUUGCUAUCUGUAGUUAGGCAGCUUGUUGAAGAGUCAGAGAAAUCUGUCCCCAAGGCUAGCCAGUAUGGUCGACCCUUUGUUGCAGCUGAUGAGAAGAGUCCCUUAAGAUGGAAGCUUGGUGAGGAUGAGCUAUCAGCCAUUCUGUAUCUAUUGGAUGUUUCUUGUGAUUCAGCUUCAGCUGUCAAAUUUCUCCUUUGGUUGUUGCCAAAAGCUAUUAGUAAUCCCAGUCCUGCCAUUCAUGGUGGGAGAAACAUUCUAAUGGUGCCCAGGAAUGUGGAAAACUAUGCUUGUGAAGUGGGGGAAGCAUAUCUUUUAUCAUCUCUCCGAAGGUAUGAGAACAUACUUAUUGCCGCAGAUCUUGUGCCUGAAGCUCUGUCUGCUACAAUGCGUCAUGUUGCUUCAUUUAUGGCCACUAACGGAAGAAUUACAGGUUCUGGAGCCCUAGUUUUUGCUUGUUAUUUGUUGAGGAGGUAUGGCAGUAUUGCCAGUGUGAUUGAAUGGGAGAAGAAUUUCAAGGAGACCUGCGAUAAAAGACUUUUGUCUGAACUUGAAUCUGGACGAACAGAGGGAGAGUUUGGAUUUCCACAUGGAGUUCCUGCUGGGACUGAAGAUCCUGAUGAUUACUGUCGUCAAAGGAUAAAUGUCGGACGGUUAUCUAGAGCUGGUGUAAGCAUGAGAGAUAUGGUUCAGCGUCGUAUUGAUGAUGUCUUGCACUAUAUCUUAGGCAAAGAGAGAAAACAUUUUGCAGCCAACACACAAAGAAGUCCUGCUACUGAAAAAGGGGAUGAUGAUUAUCAAGUUGCUCAACAAAUUAUAAUGGGACUAAUGGACUGUUUUAGGCAGACCGGUGGUGCUUUUCAGGAAGGGGACCCGGGUUUGGUGUCUUCUGCUGUUUCUGCCAUUGUUAGCAAUGUUGGACCAACCCUAGCAAAGAUACCUGAUUUUACUAGCGGCAGCACUUAUUCAAAUUAUCAGCCGCCUAUGAAUUACUUGAAUUUUGCUAAGCGCUUAUUGCACAUCCAUUUAAUAUGUCUAUGCCUGUUAAAGGAAGCUCUUGGAGAGCGCAAAAGCCAAGCAUUUGAGAUAGCUCUUGCAACAGAGGCUUUUUCUGCUUUAGCUGUAGCAUUUGCUCCUGCAAAGUCCUCUCGGGGUCAGUUGUUGUCUCCUGAUUCUCUUGAUUCUCAUGCAAACAUAUCUAAUGACAAUUCGCACAGUUCUGCCAAAGCGACUCUUGGGAGAACUACCAAAAUGGCAGCUGCUGUUUCUGCCCUUGUCAUUGGGGCCAUUAUUCAUGGAGUUAUUAGCUUGGAGAGAAUGGUGUCUGUCUUAAGAUUAAAGGAAGGAUUGGAUGUUGUUCAAUUUGUAAGGAGCACAAAAACCAGCUCUAAUGGUAAUGCCCGAUCUGUUGGGGCUUUUAAGGUGGACAACUCAGUUGAAGUAUAUGUGCACUUGUUUCGGCUGUUUGUUGGGAACUGUAGAACUGUUUGUGAUGGACUAGUAUUGGAGCUCUUGGGUGAACAAUCAGUUUUAGCUCUUUCAAGGAUGCAGAGAUUGCUCCCAAUUAAUUUGGUCUUUCCACCAGCUUAUGCAAUAUUUGCAUUUAUGAUAUGGAAGCCAUUCAUCUUAAACAGUAAUACUGCAAGAAGUGAAGAUAUUCAGCAAUUGUAUCAGUCUUUAACAGUGGCCAUUGGUGAUGCCAUAAAACACAGACCUUUUCGAGAUGUUUGUAUGAGGGAUACUCGUGGUUUUUAUGAUAUUGUAGCUGCAGAUACAACUGAUGCUGAGUUUGCUGCCAUGCUAGAGUUGAAUGGUUUGGACAUGCAUUUGAAAUCCAUGGCCUUUGUCCCUCUUCGUGCAAGGCUCUUUCUAAAUGCUAUAAUUGAUUGUAAAAUGCCUAAUUCUGCUUUUACACAGGAUGAUGGGAAUAGGGUUUCUGGACAUAGUGAGUCUAAAGCUCUUCGUGCAGAGACAUCUAAGCUUUUGGAUAAGCUUGUUUGUGCAUUGGACACUAUUCAACCUGCUAAGUUUCAUUGGCAGUGGGUUGAGUUAAGGCUCCUUUUAAAUGAACAAGCACUUAUUGAUAAGAUUGAGAAUCAUGACAUGUCCAUAGUGGAUGCUAUUCGCUCUUCCUCACCUAGUUCUGAAAGAGCUACUCCUUCUGAGAGUGAGAAAGUUUUCAUCGAAAUUAUUCUUACCAGAUUGUUGGUCAGACCUGAUGCUGCUCCCCUUUUCUCAGAGGUGGUUCAUCUUUUUGGGAGAUCAUUAGAGGAUUCGAUGUUGAUGCAGGCUAAAUGGUUCUUAGGUGGCCUGGAUGUUCUUUUGGGACGGAAAACUGUUAGGCAACGGCUCAGUAAUAUUGCUGAAAAUAAAAACCUUUCUACCAAGUCACAGUUCUGGAAGCCUUGGGGUUGGUCCUAUUCUGGUGUUGAUCCUGUAACAAACAGUGGAGAGAAGAGAAAGUCUGAAGUCACAUCUCUUGAGGAAGGCGAAGUCAUUGAGGAGGGCAUGGAGUCAAAGGGGUGUGUGAAAGGGUCCACUCAAGUCGAUAUUGAGGGUUCUGGUAUCAAUCAGCAGCAUGUAACUGAGAAGGCUUUCAUUGAAUUAGUUAUUCCUUGCAUAGACCAAAGCUCUGCUGACUCACACAAUACCUUUGCAAGUGAUUUGAUAAAGCAGUUUAACACCAUUGAGCAACAGAUAAACUCAGUUACUCGUGGUGUAAGCAAGCAGACUGGCACUGCUUCUUCUGGAAUUGAAGGUCCUACUAAUAAAAUUAACAAUCGCAAAGGCAUAAGAGGUGGUAGCCCUGGAUUGGCUAAACGAACACCAGCUCCUGUGGAGUCUGCUCCGCCUCCUUCCCCUGCAGCUUUGCGAGCUUCUAUGUCAUUGAGGUUGCAGUUUAUUGUGAGAUUGCUGCCAAUAAUAUGUGCAGAUGGGGAACCAUCAGCACGAAGCAUGAGGAAUAUGCUUGCCUCUGUAAUACUUCGAUUACUCGGAAGCAGGGUUGUGCAUGAGGAUGUCGACCUAUCUUCUAAUCUUGCACAGCUGAAGAGGGACAUGGAGCUGAUGCCAGUUGUUGCAUCCACAGAAAUGUCUGGAGAUAGUCUUUUUGAUCGGUUAUUGUUAGUUUUGCAUGGGUUGUUAAGCAGUUGCAAGCCAAGUUGGCUGAAGUCAAAGGAUGCCAAGGAUUUUUCUGGAUUUGACCGUGAAGCAGUGGAGGGUCUGCAGAAUGAAUUAGAUUCUAUGCAAUUGCCUGAGAUGAUUAGAUGGCGAAUCCAAGCCGCAAUGCCUAUAUUAUUUCCUUCUUUUCACAAUACAGUCUCCUGCCAACCACCCUCUGUCCCUAUUGGUGCUCUUAGUUUGCUUCAACCCAGCAUCUGUGUCCCUGGAUCUUACACUGGAACUAUUAAUCCAUCUCAGAGACAGGUUGCGUCAGCACGAAAUGCAAAUAAUAUGCCAGGAAAAUCCAAGUCAGUGCUAUCACAAGAGAAUGAUAUGGAAAUUGACCCAUGGACACUUUUGGAAUACGGAGCAGGAUCAGGUCCAUCUUCAAGUAGCACUGCAGCCAUUGGAGGCAGUGACAAUGCUAAUCUUCGAGCUUCAAGUUGGCUCAAGGGGGCUGUAAGAGUGAGACGGACAGACCCAUCGUAUAUUGGCGCUGUGGAUGAUGAUAGCUGAUUUUAGGUUCAACUAUGUUUUUAGAUUUGGUCUUACGGAAUAGCAAGGCCCCUCACAACAGGUAAAUUAAAGCGUUAUUUGUUGUGCACAUUGGUCUUGCCUGUCCCAUGUUUUACAGUGGAGAGGGGGGAUUUUGUUUUUCACAUUUUGGUUGGGCAUACUGGAAUCCUUGUGAAAGAAUGUGAUGAUGUAGUGAUGUAGGCCAUCUUCUAUUCAGCAUUGCAGAUUGACUGUCAUUUUAUGCCCCCGCUGUCUGGGCCGUAUGUACUCACAGGUGCGGUUCAGAGGCUUUGUUGUAUAUAUAGAGGAUAAUUGUUUCAGUUUACCAAUUGAUCAGAUGGAUGGCUGGAUUUUGUAGAUGAACAAAUACAUAAGGCAGGCAGAUGAAAUCCUGAUGUUCUGCAAUUAGUUGUGGGUUUAGAUAAUCAAAUGAAUGGAUUUGUAGAUUUAUCAUCCGGAUGGUACAAAAUCGAAAAAGCAGAAAUUGUUGAAUGGAUGACAAUGGGGUUGAGUUAGCGCCAUCUGUUUCGAGGACGUCUGUGAAAGUUCGGGGUACCUUUGCUUCAAGGCAAACAACAAGCUCUCGGCCCUUUCAGCCAAUAUGUGAUUUUUGUCACUAAGAUCAACAUCAGACAUCAGCUCUUUUACCAUGCCCCAUGAUGGUUUUGAAUGCUUUAUGCAUGCUUUACGUCUCCAUGUAUACAUUGAGGCUUCCACGCUGUCUGCAAGCUGUAGUGCUUCAUGUUCCGAUGCUAUACUUAGACAAUCCAGCAGAUAAUCCGGGCAGAACUUUUCUGUCCCCAACAUGAACCUGUAGAUCGACUCUCCUAUACUGGCCCUUCCGCUCUGUACAACUUCCCUCAUACAAAUAAGUAAUUUCUCCAAACUUUACUACUAUCAGCACAGCAGAUCCCCACCGUACUAUUUAAGCAACCAUAUUUUUCAUUUUCUUUUUCACAGAGAUAUCUCAAUUUGGGAUAGGAUUCUAAAUGCUAGAAUCUGAAUUUGAAUAAGUGAUUUCAUGAACUAAUUAAGCUAAAUCCGGGAUCAUUGUGCAACCGUGAAUGUUCUCUUUUAUUCAAUUGAAUUGGCUUCAGUUAUUUACAA
Molecule: RNA transcript, 8194 nt
Organism: Gossypium raimondii (Peruvian cotton)
Lineage: Eukaryota; Viridiplantae; Streptophyta; Magnoliopsida; Malvales; Malvaceae
Gene name: mediator of RNA polymerase II transcription subunit 12
Exons: 17
Source: RefSeq, a predicted model, not a curated record